CCAUCCACAACGCGGAAGUCAACAGUAUUUGGAAAGGCGAUUGGCAGCAAAUGCGGAUGCCAGAAUGCCUGGAUGAAUAAAUGAGUCAGUCAUCUGCACAGCAUCAAUGGAAAAAGAGAAGCAAUGAGGAAGAAGAGAAGAGUAACAGUGAGUGAAACUGAAGUCCAGCUUGAGAUACCCGGAUGAGUACUCCAGGUUGACAGUCUGGAAGGACCCCUCCAGAUUUCAGAAGUGAUUUUCAGACAGCGAUGAGGAGAGUCCUGUUAUUUCAAUGGGGGCCUACCGAGAAGUUGUAUGCCAAGUGACACUGGGACACACUCACAAAGGCUGGUCUGGCUAAUGUGAGAAGACCAACCAAUGCCAAGUCGGAGUGGGACCCUUCAAGGAUGUUGAAGAAAUUGUUGUCUUUGGCCAUGUGGUAAUCACUUGAAAGGAAUGAUGUUUGGGAUUACUUGUCUAUAAAUGUGGACCCAAACACCAAAUAGAAUGUUCACAAUUCUACUAACACAAUGCAACAGGGAUAGAGCC
Molecule: long non-coding RNA, 528 nt
Organism: Haliotis rufescens (red abalone)
Lineage: Eukaryota; Metazoa; Mollusca; Gastropoda; Lepetellida; Haliotidae
Exons: 3
Source: RefSeq, a predicted model, not a curated record